RNAcentral lists this ribosomal RNA (429 nucleotides) under uncultured bacterium. RNAcentral's name for it is "bacterial SSU rRNA". It matches the Rfam family "Bacterial small subunit ribosomal RNA", at positions 275 to 686 of the family's 1533-position model. The record is from RNAcentral.
UACGACGGGUCGCUGGUCUGAGAGGACGACCAGCCACACUGGCACUGAGAUACGGGCCAGACUCCUACGGGAGGACAGCAGUGAGGUAAUAUUGCGCAAUGGGGAAACCCUGACGCAGCAACGCCGCGUGUGGGAAGAAGGCCUUCGGGUCGUAAACCACUUUUGCAACGGGACGAAAAAAGGGACUAUCGAACAAAUAUACCCCGAUGACGGUACCGUGAGAAUAAAGCCUACGGCUAACUCUGUGCCAGCAGCCGCGGUAAGACAGAGGUGGCAAGCGUUGUUCGGAAUUACUGGGCGUAAAGAGUCUGUAGGUGGUUUGUCAAGUCUUUGGUGAAAAGGCCGUAGUCUUAACUAUGGGAAUCGCCAAAGAGACUGGCAGGCUGGAGGCUGGGAGAGGGAAGCGGAAUUUCUGGUGUAGCGGUGAAA